CAGCAGCCGCGGGAAAACCGAGGGUGCAAGCGUUAAUCGGAAUUACUGGGCGUAAAGCGCGCGUAGGUGGUUUGUUAAGUUGGAUGUGAAAUCCCCGGGCUCAACCUGGGAACUGCAUCCCAAACUGGCAGGCUAGAGUAGGGCAGAGGGUGGUGGAAUUUCCUGUGUAGCGGUGAAAUGCGUAGAUAUAGGAAGGAACACCAGUGGCGAAGGCGACCACCUGGGCUCAUACUGACACUGAGGUGCGAAAGCGUGGGGAGCAAACAGGAUUAGAUACCCCGGUAGUCCCUGUCUCUUAUAU
RNAcentral lists this ribosomal RNA (301 nucleotides) under uncultured bacterium. RNAcentral describes it as "partial 16S ribosomal RNA". It matches the Rfam family "Bacterial small subunit ribosomal RNA", at positions 509 to 809 of the family's 1533-position model. The record is from RNAcentral.